GUGGGGAAUAUUGGGCAAUGGGGGAAACCCUGACCCAGCAACGCCGCGUGAAGGAAGAAGGCUUUCGGGUUGUAAACUUCUUUUAUGAGGGACGAAGAAGUGACGGUACCUCAUGAAUAAGCCACGGCUAACUACGUGCCAGCAGCCGCGGUAAUACGUAGGUGGCAAGCGUUGUCCGGAUUUACUGGGUGUAAAGGGCGCGUAGGCGGGAUAGCAAGUCAGGUGUGAAAUCCGGGGGCUUAACCCUCGAACUGCACUUGAAACUGUUAUUCUUGAGUGAUGGGGAGGCAAGCGGAAUUCCUAGUGUAGCGGUGAAAUGCGUAGAUAUUAGGAGGAACACCAGUGGCGAAGGCGGCUUGCUGGACAUUAACUGACGCUGAGGCGCGAAAGCGUGGGGAGCAAACAGGAUUAGAUACCCCGGUAGUCC
RNAcentral lists this ribosomal RNA (427 nucleotides) under uncultured bacterium. RNAcentral's name for it is "partial 16S ribosomal RNA". It matches the Rfam family "Bacterial small subunit ribosomal RNA", at positions 354 to 796 of the family's 1533-position model. The record is from RNAcentral.